Molecule: transfer RNA, 76 nt
Filed under: Methanobrevibacter sp. AbM4
Lineage: Archaea; Methanobacteriati; Methanobacteriota; Methanobacteria; Methanobacteriales; Methanobacteriaceae
Description: tRNA-Phe
Rfam family: tRNA
About the family: Transfer RNA (tRNA) molecules are approximately 80 nucleotides in length.
Source: RNAcentral
GCCAUGGUAGUUCAGAUGGGAGAACGCUAGACUGAAGAUCUAGAUGUCGCUGGUUCAAGUCCGGCCCAUGGCACUA